RNAcentral lists this ribosomal RNA (467 nucleotides) under uncultured bacterium. RNAcentral's name for it is "bacterial SSU rRNA". It matches the Rfam family "Bacterial small subunit ribosomal RNA", at positions 329 to 795 of the family's 1533-position model. The record is from RNAcentral.
UUCCAGACUCCUACGGGAGGCAGCAGUGAGGAAUAUUGGUCAAUGGCCGGAAGGCUGAACCAGCCAAGCCGCGUGAAGGACGAAGGUGCCAAGCAUUGUAAACUUCUUUUGUCAAGGGACAAAAUCAGGCUCGAGAGCCUGACCGAGGGUACUUGAAGAAAAAGCAUCGGCUAACUCCGUGCCAGCAGCCGCGGUAAUACGGAGGAUGCGAGCGUUAUCCGGAUUUAUUGGGUUUAAAGGGUGCGUAGGCGGAAUAUCAAGUCAGCGGUAAAAAUUCGGGGCUCAACCCCGUCGUGCCGUUGAAACUGAUGUUCUUGAGUGGGCGAGAAGUAUGCGGAAUGCGUGGUGUAGCGGUGAAAUGCAUAGAUAUCACGCAGAACUCCGAUUGCGAAGGCAGCAUACCGGCGCCCAACUGACGCUGAAGCACGAAAGCGUGGGUAUCGAACAGGAUUAGAUACCCUCGUAAC